Dermacentor andersoni is the source of this 841-nucleotide non-coding RNA. Lineage: Eukaryota; Metazoa; Arthropoda; Arachnida; Ixodida; Ixodidae. The record is from RefSeq and is a predicted model, not a curated record.
GCAGCCGACAGCAGUCGUCUCGCGGAUAAGACAGCGACGCACAGCUGAGCGCGUCACGUGACGCCCAAGGUCGGCGUCGUCAGUAAACAGCGGCAUCGGAAUUGCCCGACCUGCGGCGUUUUUCCGUCGUGAGCGUGUACCCACACCGCUGCGUGCUCCUCGAGCUCCGAGCCAUUCGGUGUGUGUCCGAAGGAAAGCCCGUCAGGGGAGCCUAGCUGCAGUCUACACCUCAUACGUGCUUUGCUAUUCAUGCUUGGAUAGUAAUCUUAGGAUGCAGUCAUCAACGCUGGCUUCUCUGAACACUCAACGUGACUACCAGUGCCCGAGCUAAUCACCAGGUUAUUGCUGGAAUCAGAUCCCGUCAAACUGGAGUCGAGGCAGGCCUCCUGCGCCACUACUCCUGUGCAGAAGCCUUUGAUGAUGCAACGGGGAGCAUAAAAGCGUGCUUCACAUUUCGACGGAGCCAUUGCUGUGGACGAUCCAGGCACGCUCACAUCGACGGCCUACUCACCGCACUUUUGUGCAUUACAUGUGCAAUGUCGGGGGUUCAGGUGUGCGGCUGCCUUAACUGGAGUGUCCACUGCCAGGAGGUGCAGCCCUGCGAUGUCCGGCACCUGGCCCCAGCAGGGGACGACCCCUUCUUUCGGGACGGGGUUGUCUGUGCAAAGCUUGCUCUGCAGGGCAUUACCAAGAGACACUCGUUCCUGGAAAGCGUGCGCAGUGUGGGCGAGUGGGAGGUGCACAGCUGUCAGGGCUGCCAGCGCGAUGUGUAUGCACAAGCCUCUGAUCGGAGCCUGCUGCUCAGUGCCGACCUUGAGGUAAAGUCUCCAAGGCUUCACUU